AUACGUAGGUGACAAGCGUUAUCCGGAUUUACUGGGCGUAAAGGGCGUGUAGGCGGUCUUGCAAGUCAGAAGUGAAAUUCCUGAGCUCAACUCGGGCGCUGCUUCUGAAACUGCAGGACUUGAGUGCUGGAGGGGAUAGCGGAAUUCCUAGUGGAGCGGUAAAAUGCGCAGAUAUUAGGAAGAACACCGGUGGCGAAGGCGGCUAUUUGGGAAGUAACUGACGCGUAGGCGCGAAAGUGUGGGGGGCAAACAGGAUUAGAUACCCUGGUAGUCCACGCCGUAAACGACGAAUACUAGGUGUAGGGGGUAUCGACUCCCUCUGUGCCGCAGUUAACACAAUAAGUAUUCCGCCUGGGGAGUACGGCCGCAAGGUUGAAACUCAAAUGAAUUGGCGGGG
Molecule: ribosomal RNA, 397 nt
Filed under: uncultured bacterium
Lineage: Bacteria
Description: partial 16S ribosomal RNA
Rfam family: Bacterial small subunit ribosomal RNA
Source: RNAcentral